CACUUACAUUUCUUCGUGUCUUGAUAAUCGUUGAGACAUGGGAGUCCUCAAGGUUCCAAGCCUGCUAUGCUUGGUAUUUCUCAUGCUACUCCUCUUGGCUCCUGGCUUUGAUGCCAAGACUUGCAAGGAGGCCAGCCAGAGCUAUAGCACUUUUAAGUGCAAAGAUGAUCCAUGUGUUGAGGCCUGCCAUAAGGAGGGAUUUAUUGAUGGGAAGUGUACCCUAGUCUAUUCACCAGGCGUUGUAUUCAUAUGUUUCUGCAAAACAUGUUAGAAACUACCGCAUGACGAUCCAUGUCUUGCUGAAUAGAAACAUGUUGAAACUAAGGCGUGAUGUGUGAUGCAAAAAGUAGUAAGAUUCGUUUUUAAAAA
Long non-coding RNA from Aegilops tauschii subsp. strangulata, 369 nucleotides. RefSeq lists it as uncharacterized. The record is from RefSeq and is a predicted model, not a curated record. NCBI's taxonomy places the organism in Eukaryota, Viridiplantae, Streptophyta, Magnoliopsida, Poales, Poaceae.